AGAGGGUGCAAGCGUUAAUCGGAUUUACUGGGCGUAAAGCGCGCGUAGGUGGCCAAUUAAGUCAAAUGUGAAAUCCCCGAGCUUAACUUGGGAAUUGCAUUCGAUACUGGUUGGCUAGAGUAUGGGAGAGGAUGGUAGAAUUCCAGGUGUAGCGGUGAAAUGCGUAGAGAUCUGGAGGAAUACCGAUGGCGAAGGCAGCCAUCUGGCCUAAUACUGACACUGAGGUGCGAAAGCAUGGGGAGCAAACAGGAUUAGAUACCCUGGUAGUCCAUGCCGUAAACGAUGUCUACUAGCCGUUGGGGCCUUUGAGGCUUUAGUGGCGCAGCUAACGCGAUAAGUAGACCGCCUGGGGAGUACGGUCGCAAGACUA
RNAcentral lists this ribosomal RNA (370 nucleotides) under uncultured bacterium. RNAcentral describes it as "bacterial SSU rRNA". It matches the Rfam family "Bacterial small subunit ribosomal RNA", at positions 527 to 896 of the family's 1533-position model. The record is from RNAcentral.